This 231-nucleotide long non-coding RNA is filed under the name Lathyrus oleraceus (garden pea). Its description in RNAcentral is "Pisum sativum (pea) long non-coding RNA (PSAT_LNC010371)". The record is from RNAcentral. Lineage: Eukaryota; Viridiplantae; Streptophyta; Magnoliopsida; Fabales; Fabaceae.
AAUAUCUUGCAAUUUUCUAUAAUAGGAUUAUUCCCAUGCACACACGUGCCGUACAUUAUUCUUGUUCUUCAAGGUUCGAAUUUGAUUUUCUUACAUAUGGUCCAUUAUUCAUUCUCUUUAAUACAUAACACAUACUUUUGAUCAAAACGGUACACAACUUCAUUUCUAAAAAAGAAGAUCACUAUUUGGAUAAUCAAAAGCUUAUCACUUCACCCUUAUUAAAGAAACAAC